Molecule: ribosomal RNA, 478 nt
Filed under: uncultured bacterium
Lineage: Bacteria
Description: partial 16S ribosomal RNA
Rfam family: Bacterial small subunit ribosomal RNA
Source: RNAcentral
GACGAACGCUGGCGGCGUGCUUAACACAUGCAAGUCGAACGGUAAGGCCCUUCGGGGUACACGAGUGGCGAACGGGUGAGUAACACGUGGGUGAUCUGCCCUGCACUUCGGGAUAAGCCUGGGAAACUGGGUCUAAUACCGGAUCGGACCACUGCCUGCAUGGGUGGUGGUGGAAAGCUUUUGGGGUGUGGGCUGGGCCCGCGGCCUAUCAGCUUGUUGGUGGGGUGAUGGCCUACCAAGGCGACGAGGGGUAGCCGGCCUGAGAGGGUGACCGGCCACACUGGGACUGAGAGACGGGCCAGAGUCCGACGGGAGGCAGCAGGGGGGAAUAUUGCACAAUGGGCGGAAGCCUGAUACAGCGACGCAGCGUGAGGGAGGACGGCCUUCGGGUUGUAAACCUCUUUCAGCACCGACGAAGCGCAAGUGACGGUAGGUGCAGAAGAAGGACCGGCCAACUACGUGCCAGCCGCCGCCGUAA